Molecule: ribosomal RNA, 460 nt
Filed under: uncultured Campylobacterota bacterium
Lineage: Bacteria; Pseudomonadati; Campylobacterota
Description: bacterial LSU rRNA
Rfam family: Bacterial large subunit ribosomal RNA
Source: RNAcentral
UCAUCGUAGGGUUAGUCGGGUCCUAAGCUGAGUCCGAAAGGGGUAAGCGAUGGAAAAUCGGUUAAUAUUCCGAUACCAACUAUAGAGCGUGAUGGGAGGACGCAUAGGGCUAUGUGAGGUCACUGAUGGAAUAGUGGCUCGAAGGGUGUAGGCUGGGAGAGAAAGGAAAAUCCACUCUCCUAUAGCUGAGACCUGACAGGCUGUGGAGGCUUUUAGGAGCCAAAACAGAAUCACAGAUGCCGAAGUGCCAAGAAAAGUCUCUAAGCAUAUCUAUAGUUGCCCGUACCGUAAACCGACACAGGUGGGUGAGAUGAGAAUUCUAAGGCGCGUGGAAGAACCAUUGUUAAGGAACUCUGCAAACUAGCACCGUAUCUUCGGUAUAAGGUGUGCCUACUUGGGUGAAGCUCCUAGCGAGUGGAGCCUGAGAGGUUGCAACAAAGAGUCCCUCCCGACUGUUUAC